GGUGAACGCUGGCGGUGGGCCUAACACAUGCAAGUCGAACGGCUGCACCGUCCGAGCUUGCUCUUCCGGGUGGCGAGUGGCGGACGGGUGCGGACUACAUCGGCCUCUACUUUUUCGUGGGGGAUGGCGUAUGGCACCUUACGCUAAUACCGCAUACGACAUACGGGUGAAUGCCGGGGAUCUUCGGACCUUGCGCGAUUGACUGAGCCGAUGUCGGAUUAGCUAGUUGGCGGGGUAAAGGCCCACCAAGGCGACGAUCCGUAGCUGACCUGAGAGGGUGAUCGGCCACACUGGGACUGAGACACGGCCCAGACUCCUACGGGAGGCAGCAGUAGGGAAUCUUCGGCAAUGGACGAAAGUCUGACCGAGCAACGCCGCGUGAGUGAAGAAGGUCUUCGGAUCGUAAAACUCUGUUGUUAGAGAAGAACAAGGACGUUAGUAACUGAACGUCCCCUGACGGUAUCUAAACAGAAAGCCACGGCUAACUACGUG
RNAcentral lists this ribosomal RNA (492 nucleotides) under uncultured bacterium. RNAcentral's name for it is "partial 16S ribosomal RNA". It matches the Rfam family "Bacterial small subunit ribosomal RNA", at positions 28 to 507 of the family's 1533-position model. The record is from RNAcentral.